GUAGAAGGUUAAUUAUUGUUUGAUUCUCUUCUCGUGGACUUCGUUCUGAAGAUGGAGUCUCUUUUUGACCUAUCUAGAGUUAGCCUUUGCCUGAUCAGACGCGCUGCCAAUCCUGGCCACUCCUGGUCAGCUAAGUCCCAUUUCUACCUCGGCCACAUUGGAAUGGAGCUCUGCAGGCAGACUCCUUGAAGAUGCUUGGGGAUGGCUUGUGUUCUCAUCUCUCCUCAACAUUCCCACUCUGCCUGUAGUUCUUGCAGUAGGCUGCCAAGUUGGUCCACCUGGGUCUUGGAACUGAGAUAUCACAUUUCCCACGUCUCAUGCCUUCCCUCCACCGGCCCUGCAUUAUUGAUGAUGACUCUGAGCCUCCCCAGCCUUCAUUUCCACAGAGGGUCAGGCUUCUCUCAUACCUAUUUGGUCUGAAGAAUCAGAGCAUUUUUCAAGACACCAGCCCGGGACAGUUUCUUAAACCAACUAUGAGACUACAAAUGGUUUUGCUUUUGCCUUAAUAGAAGACAGUGGAAUGUCCGUUCUUGUGUAUUUAAAAAAAAAUAAAGGAGAGAUUCCCCAGAGUGCUCUGUGUUAU
RNAcentral lists this long non-coding RNA (583 nucleotides) under Phascolarctos cinereus (koala). Its description in RNAcentral is "lncRNA (ENSPCIG00000034261.1)". Lineage: Eukaryota; Metazoa; Chordata; Mammalia; Diprotodontia; Phascolarctidae. The record is from RNAcentral.